CCAGGCCCGACCCUAAAUCUGGGAGACGAGCCCCAGCCACAGGAGUCCCAGGUGUUCCCAUUCUGUGAUCAGCACAGAACACACACACCUCACCAUGGAGUUUGUGCUGGGCUGGGUGUUCCUGGUUGCUCUUUUAAAAGGUGUCCAGUGUGAUGUGCAGCUGGUGGAGUCUGGGGGAGACCUGGUGAAGCCUGGGGGGUCCCUGAGACUCACCUGUGUGGCCUCUGGAUUCACCUUCAGUAGCUACUACAUGAGCUGGGUCCGCCAGGCUCCCGGGAAGGGGCUGCAGUGGGUCGCAGGAAUUAGUGGUAGUGGAGGUAGCACAGGCUACACAGACUCCGUGAAGGGCCGAUUCACUAUCUCCAGAGACAACGCCAAGAACACGCUGUAUCUGCAGAUGAACAGCCUGAAGACCGAGGACACGGCCACAUAUUACUGUGCAAGAGACACGGUGAAGGGACCUCACUGGGAACCCACACACAAACCUCCCUGCAGGAGGGGAUCAGCACCACCAGGGGGCGCACACUAUGCACAAUUCUCCUUUGUGUUCCCAGGAGCUGGUGCAGAUGGAGGUUACAGGCAGGUUUCCUGUCAGGGUCUGGGGCUUCCUCUCCACACAGCAGUUUCCCCAGGGAGCCUCCCUGGUUAUAUGCUUCUAUGUUUACCUAUUAACUCUCUGAAUUAGCAACUGGGUUGUCAUAGGGAAACUAUACUAACAUG
Molecule: non-coding RNA, 720 nt
Organism: Herpailurus yagouaroundi (jaguarundi)
Lineage: Eukaryota; Metazoa; Chordata; Mammalia; Carnivora; Felidae
Source: the annotation of a RefSeq genome assembly